RNAcentral lists this ribosomal RNA (880 nucleotides) under uncultured bacterium. Its description in RNAcentral is "bacterial SSU rRNA". It matches the Rfam family "Bacterial small subunit ribosomal RNA", at positions 27 to 916 of the family's 1533-position model. The record is from RNAcentral.
GGAUGAACGCUGGCGGCGUGCCUAAUACAUGCAAGUCGAACGAGGUGCUUUUGUAGCAAUACGAGAGUAUCCUAGUGGCGAACGGGUGAGUAACGCGUUGGUGACCUACCCCAAAGUGUGGGAUAACAGUCCGAAAGGAUUGCCAAUACCGCAUGUGGUUAUUGGAUUUAGAAACCGGUAACUAAAGGAGCAAUUCGCUUUGGGAGGGACCUGCGUCCCAUCAGCUAGUUGGUGAGGUAAUGGCUCACCAAGGCUACGACGGGUAGGGGACCUGAGAGGGUGACCCCCCACAAUGGGACUGAAACACGGUCCAUACACCUACGGGUGGCAGCAGUAGGGAAUAUUGCACAAUGGGCGAAAGCCUGAUGCAGCAACGCCGCGUGUGUGAUGAAGGCCUUCGGGUCGUAAAGCACUUUUCUGGGAGAUGAGAAAGGACAGUAUCCCAGGAAUAAGUCUCGGCUAACUACGUGCCAGCAGCCGCGGUAAAACGUAGGAGGCAAGCGUUAUCCGGAUUCACUGGGCGUAAAGCGCGUGCAGGUGGCGCGGUAAGUUGGGCGUGAAAUCUCCCGGCUCAACUGGGAGAGGUCGUUCAAUACUACCGUGCUUGAGAGCAGAAGAGGAAGAUGGAAUUCCCGGUGUAGUGGUGAAAUGCGUAGAUAUCGGGAGGAACACCAGUGGCGAAGGCGAUCUUCUGGUCUGUUUCUGACACUCAGACGCGGCAGCUAGGGUAGUAAACGGGAUUAGAGACCCCGGUAAUCCUAGCCGUAAACGAUGUGAACUUGGCGUUGGUGGGUUAAACUCCAUCAGUGCCGAAGCAAACGCGAUAAGUUCACCGCCUGGGGACUACGGCCGCAAGGUUAAAACUUAAAUGAAUUGACGG